This is a long non-coding RNA of Mus musculus (house mouse), 1512 nucleotides long. RefSeq annotates it as predicted gene 15658. The record is from RefSeq and is a predicted model, not a curated record. The transcript has 3 exons. Lineage: Eukaryota; Metazoa; Chordata; Mammalia; Rodentia; Muridae.
UACAGUGCUGUGAGCCUAAGCUUCCUGCUGUGGGCUGUCUCCUCUGUUAUUACGGAAGGAGAAACCACAGCUAGUAACCGACUACACUGUAUUUGGAUCCCUGCCUACCAAGCUCUGAAGUGUGGAGCCUGCUCCUGUACCCUGCUGGGGGAAUUCUCUGGCCCAAGUCUCCUUUCUACACCUCUAAGGUACCUUGAGAUCCAUGACUACGAAUUCUCUAACCUCUAGCCAUUUCCCCAAGCCUUCCCAGCAAAGGAUUCCCUUCUCAGUACCCUUAUGUCUUACAGAAGGCAUUUCUUCUUCAUGGUGACUCCAGAAAAUCACGUAGAUCUUAUCAGUUCUAAUUGGGACCUGAAGACUUGGCCACAGCACCCAGGCUUGGCAGAGGAGAUCUGAGACUACGAUACCAAUUCAACUUAUCAAGUUACAGAAGCAACCACAAAAUAACAAAAAAGGAGUUUCUUACCCACGGUCACCAAAAGGAGACUGAGAGAGAGAAGCAGGAAGCCUUUCAUGGUAGCUGCUCUUGCUUGAUAAUCCAAGGAGGAAAUGUGUCCUCUCCUUCGCUGCCUGGAGUUUUAACUGUCUUUCAAGUCCGAAGUCCACUCAUUAACUGAUAGAGGCAAAGGCAAUUCGUGGUCAGGAUCUGGUCUCUGGUCGUACAGCAUGGGCUGCUUCCAACCUCAGAGUCAGGUCACUUGAGCCCAGCUUCAGGUUGAUAUCCUUGACUCAAAGUCCAGGACAACUGUAGAAGUCUGAGUUCUCUUUAGAAAUCCUUGCAAGGUCAAAGGUGGGAAGGGAAGCGACGACAAGCCCAGAAGACAGCUUAUGGGAGCUGGUUCUCUUCUCUCACCAGGUGGGCCCCAGGAAUAAAACUCAUGUUGACAACCUUGGCUGCAAGCCCCAUUAUCCACCUUGGCCCUAUUAUCUCACUUUUCCCUGGAUUAACUCUCAAGGGUGAAGACUUGGUUUUUCUUUAUUGUUUUGCCAGUAAGCUUCCUGCUAGACAGUGACCUAAUUCUCUUCUGGUCCUUUGGGAUGUCUCCACUGGGGGCACGAGACACAACUUGGCUCAUAUUCUUUUGAUGAAAAAUCAUGCAACAACGAAUGAAAGAAAAUAUGUCAGAUGUCAUUAAGGAUGGUUGCUGGGAUUUGAACUCAGAACCUUCGGAAGAGCAAUCAGUGCUCUUAACUGCUGAGACAUCUCUCCAGCCCGGCUCUGUCUUCUGACAAAGGAUUAACAGAUUUAGAGGAAGAUCAAAUACCAGCCUAUGGGGGUUUUGCUUUGCUUUGCUUUACUUUGACUUAAGACAGGAGCUUACUCUGUAGCCCAGGUUAGCCUGGAACUCAUUAUGUAGCCCAGGCUAGCCCCAAAGUUGUGUGUAUUAUAGGUGUGAUCUACCAUACCUGGUUCCACAUACGGGGUUUACUCACUGCCUAUAUGGUCCCAAAUUCCUCGGCCUUCUAGAGGGUCAGGGCUUUGGUCUGUAAAUUUUACCUAUUUGUCCCACA